UCGAGAAUCUUCCGCAAUGGGCGAAAGCCUGACGGAGCGACGCCGCGUGCAGGAUGAAGGCCCUUGGGUUGUAAACUGCUGUCAGAGGGGAUGAAAUCAUGGUUGGCUAUCCUUCCAUGUUGACAAAGCCUCAAAGGAAGCACGGGCUAAGUACGUGCCAGCAGCCGCGGUAACACGUACUGUGCGAACGUUAUUCGGAAUCACUGGGCUUAAAGGGUGCGUAGGCGGUUAAUCAAGUCAGAUGUGAAAUGCCUGAGCUCAACUGAGGCACGGCGUUUGAAACUGAUUAACUUGAGGAUUCCAGGGGUAUGCGGAACUGCCAGUGGAGCGGUGAAAUGCGUUGAUAUUGGCAGGAACACCAGUGGCGAAGGCGGCAUACUGGGGGAUCACUGACGCUGAGGCACGAAAGCCAGGGUAGCGAACGGGAUUAGAUACCCCCGUAGUCC
Molecule: ribosomal RNA, 446 nt
Filed under: uncultured prokaryote
Description: bacterial SSU rRNA
Rfam family: Bacterial small subunit ribosomal RNA
Source: RNAcentral